UGGAUGAAAACUGGAGGAGGGGAGAUUGAGGUGAGACAUGAGGAGGAAAUUCUGGAGUGUGAGGGUGGGGAGACCCUGGCCCAGGUUGCCCAGGGAAGCUGUGGCUGCCCCAUCCCUGGCAGUGUUGAAGGGCAGGUUGGAUGGGGCUUGGAGCAGCCUGGUCUGGUGGGAGGUGUCCCUGCCCAUGCAGGGGGGUUGGAACUGGAUGGUCUUGAAGGUCACUUCCAACCCAAACCAGUCUGUGGGUCUAUGACCACAACAGAACAAGAUUUAGGUGUUCACUUAUUUGCCAUGUACCCCAAACAAGAUAUCUAUAUUACUGUAGGUAAACAUUCUAUAUGCUUUUGAGCUUAAUGGUCACUUUUCUCAGUUAUAUCUGCACAGUCAUAUUAGUUUCAAUUACUUCCAAAACCAGAGUCACAGCUGACAUCCCCAUAUAAGAGAUUUUUUUUCUUCACUGCACAGCCCUAGAGUGUUAAGCAGCGUUUUGGUCCUGGAUAAAAUCAUAUGCUGUGAGGACUAACAUGCUUCAAAGCAUGCGAAGUUCAGUGAGGUUGAGUUUAGGCAGUUCCUGUGUGCUACCUACACAGAGAGCAGCAGAAAGGGACCUUCCUGCUCCCUUCAGUUCUCUGGGUGUUGCAGCCCUUGCAGAGAGCAGCUCGGCAGGGCACGGCACAGGACACUGUGGCUUCUGUCCAGAUGCGUUGGCUCAGCACAAGCAUGUGCUUAGUAACCUUCCCCGUGUGAGUAAUCCCCUGGUUAUCCACAGAAUGACUGAACUCAUGCUCUGAUGGCUGAAGAUAAGAUUACUCACACACCCAGCCCCAGUAUUCUUCCACUGCUCUUGUCCCUCCCCACUUCCCAGGGCAGAACAACUCUCCCUGUCUCUGGCUCUGUUGCCAAAUCCUGCAUGCCUUGCCUUAAACAAGGGAUGAACCAUGCUAAAAAAGAAAACAUCAUGCAGUAGCCCUAACAAGGAAUGAAACUGGUAGUGUCUGCCUUUACAACCACCCCCUCACUCUCCCACCCCCCCGAGCUCCAAGCAAUGACAUUAUUUUGGGGUUCUUUCACACUGAUACUCCCUCUUUAGUUAUACAGGGUCCUGUCUUAAACUCCUUACUCUUGAGUGCUAGGGAAGAUACAGUGUAUUUCUAACAAGGUACUGAAGAAUAAUUAAAAUUAUUUUUCCUACUUCUUUUCCUGCUGGAUAACUGAUUUGGGGGCUAUCCUGCUAAGAAUAGUCAGUGCAUCUUCUGUGUUCCUUUGACUUGAAGGAUCCAGGAUGUGGUCAUCUAUAGUCAGGAUGCAUAAGGUAGAGAAAAAAAAAAUAGUAAAAACUGGAAUGCAUAAUAAUCCUGAGCAAUCCCUACAGGCUAAAACUUAACAAUGCUUCUAAAACCCAACGUAGCUUAAUGCUUUUUAACCCUGAAGGCCAGUUCCUCCUGUCACUGAGGUCAGCUGGUCUUUGGUCUUUGAUCCAAACGAGACCCGAAUUACCCUGAACUAAUGAUGUUACUUUUUCCCCUGGAAAGAAAAAGUUUCUUGAUCUAGAGGUAAACCUUGUGUGGUUUUAUGCAUAGAGGAUGCACAGAUUUGAUGCAUCUUAGAGGAUGCCUUGGGGUGUCCUUCGAUCUGAGGAAGCAUGUUGCUGUAAGAAAGGAACUAGCCUGUCUCUGUCCCUGGCUUUUCUGUUUGGUUUUUUCCAUAUGAAGAAAAACAUGUUUAGCACUAGUCACGUGUUAUAAAUGUAGCAUGGACAGGGUGAGUUGGUUUGUUCCUCUCCAAUAUUCAUAGAUUACCUAAAUCCUGUCGCAAGAGAUCACAGAGUUUGAGAACAAAUGCUUCUGUUCCUGUGGGGCACAUUUUCUUCUCAUAAAGAGGAUUCCUUUUCAUAGUUUAUCUGAGUUCUUAACUUAUUUUUUUUUGUAUGUUUUUCGUCUCUGUCUUAGUGCAAAUUUAUUGUGCUGAUCAAUGUCUCUGGAAUUAGAUAAUGGUUUUAUGAGAUACUGGAUUAGAAUUCUUAUCUGUCUUAAUUGUUGGUCACUGUUGCACAAUGACAAAUGUUUUUGCCCUAAAUUUUAUCUCCUAUUGGAUUAGACAGUCUUGCAGUUUGUUAAGGACAUACUUUCUGGGUUAAUGAACAAGAGCAAUUAUCACUAGUUUAAUGAAAACUAAGGAAAAGUAGUACAUAAAUGUGUUUCAGUCUGAAUCUGUAUUUUUAAACUAUGCAUUUUCUAAUUUUAAUAGCUCACUUCAAACUCUUUUUGCAAAUUGAUGUAGUUUAAACACUUAUGUAGGAAAAAAAAAAACAACAGCUAUGCAAACGA
Long non-coding RNA from Apus apus (common swift), 2327 nucleotides. RefSeq lists it as uncharacterized. Lineage: Eukaryota; Metazoa; Chordata; Aves; Apodiformes; Apodidae. The transcript has 2 exons. The record is from RefSeq and is a predicted model, not a curated record.